Molecule: ribosomal RNA, 224 nt
Filed under: uncultured bacterium
Lineage: Bacteria
Description: partial 16S ribosomal RNA
Rfam family: Bacterial small subunit ribosomal RNA
Source: RNAcentral
UACGUAGGGUGCAAGCGUUGUCCGGAAUUAUUGGGCGUAAAGAGCUCGUAGGCGGUCUGUCGCGUCUGCUGUGAAAACUCGGGGCUUAACCCCGGGCCUGCAGUGGGUACGGGCAGACUAGAGUGCGGUAGGGGAGACUGGAAUUCCUGGUGUAGCGGUGAAAUGCGCAGAUAUCAGGAGGAACACCGGUGGGCGAAGGCGGGGUCUCUGGGCCGUAACUGACG